This 342-nucleotide unclassified non-coding RNA is filed under the name soil metagenome. Its description in RNAcentral is "partial contains 5.8S ribosomal RNA, internal transcribed spacer 2, and large subunit ribosomal RNA". The stretch from base 1 to 120 matches the Rfam family "5.8S ribosomal RNA", at positions 35 to 154 of the family's 154-position model. The record is from RNAcentral.
GAUGAAGAACGUAGCGGAAUGCGAUAAGUAGUGUGAAUUGCAGAAUUCAGUGAAUCAUCGAAUCUUUGAACGCACAUUGCGGCCAUAGGUAUUCCUUUGGCCAUGCCUGUUCGAGCGUCAUUUACACCCUCAAGCCUAGCUUGGUGUUGGGCGCCUGUCCCGCCGUUUUCGCGCGCGGACUCGCCUCAAAGUCAUUGGCGGCGGUCGUGCCGGCCCCCUCGCGCAGCACAUUUGCGCUUCUCGGAGGCCCGGCGGAUCCGCGCUCCAGCAAGACCUUUCACGACUUGACCUCGGAUCAGGUAGGGAUACCCGCUGAACUUAAGCAUAUCAAUAAGCGGAGGA